Long non-coding RNA from Eleginops maclovinus (Patagonian blennie), 514 nucleotides. RefSeq lists it as uncharacterized. Lineage: Eukaryota; Metazoa; Chordata; Actinopteri; Perciformes; Eleginopidae. The record is from RefSeq and is a predicted model, not a curated record. The transcript is spliced from 5 exons.
CCCGGCGACGAACAAACAACCUGAGCGGUACUGCGCGCGGAUCGCAGUUAGGAAUCUCCAUAACGACGCAUGGAGGACGACAAGAUGAAUGAUGAGCGGUAUAGUGGAAACAACACAGAGAAGGUGAACUUUCCUGUGAGUUAGGAGUGAGUAUACAUCUGCAGCUGGACAGGUGUUCACACCGUGGGAACGAAGGUUCAGAAAUGCAGCUUCAACGGAGGACAUCUGGGAAGAAUACAGAGCAGCGAGGACCGUCCUCUCUCAUCUGAAGCUCUGAGGGCCAUGCCAUGAUCUCUCCUCUGCCCGCUGUGGCGUUGAAAUGAAACCCGCCCGCUCCAAGCUGGCACUAACACAUGUCCAUCGAGGCUGCGUGUUUUCAGGUCAGGUCUGUUGAUGCAUUGAUUGCCCGAGUGUUGUCUCCAGUCAAAUUCCCAGGGCGGCACAAAGACCAUCUUCGAUUCUGCCUCGGGUUGAUGAAAACCUACUCCCACUGCACAUCAAAUAAAAGUGGAGG